GGAUGUGGGGGCCAUCCGGCUGUGACAUCAGUCACCUCAUUGAUUCAGCUGAUUUGGUUGGUUACAUAGUGUCCCCUUCCUCUCUCCACAUUCACAGGCAUCCCCUACCCUAGCAGCUGUGAGAUCAGUCAAAGAAAACCUUCACCAAUAGAGGAGGUCUGUUCUUUCAUCAAGGGCAUAUGAGUGUGUGCAUUCCCUUAUUAGAGCAUUAGGUGAAUUCCUCUGCAAGAACCAAAGAAGCUCUCAAAAAGUAACGGGGUGACUCAGUAAGUUG
Molecule: small nuclear RNA, 274 nt
Filed under: Tursiops truncatus (common bottlenose dolphin)
Lineage: Eukaryota; Metazoa; Chordata; Mammalia; Artiodactyla; Delphinidae
Description: 7SK RNA (ENSTTRG00000025201.1)
Rfam family: 7SK RNA (bases 1-244)
About the family: 7SK was discovered as an abundant small nuclear RNA in the mid-70s but a possible function has only recently been suggested.
Source: RNAcentral